This 380-nucleotide ribosomal RNA is filed under the name Staphylococcus aureus. RNAcentral's name for it is "partial 23S ribosomal RNA". It matches the Rfam family "Bacterial large subunit ribosomal RNA", at positions 1770 to 2149 of the family's 2925-position model. The record is from RNAcentral. Lineage: Bacteria; Bacillati; Bacillota; Bacilli; Caryophanales; Staphylococcaceae.
AGAAGAGCCGCAGUGAAUAGGCCCAAGCGACUGUUUAUCAAAAACACAGGUCUCUGCUAAACCGUAAGGUGAUGUAUAGGGGCUGACGCCUGCCCGGUGCUGGAAGGUUAAGAGGAGUGGUUAGCUUCUGCGAAGCUACGAAUCGAAGCCCCAGUAAACGGCGGCCGUAACUAUAACGGUCCUAAGGUAGCGAAAUUCCUUGUCGGGUAAGUUCCGACCCGCACGAAAGGCGUAACGAUUUGGGCACUGUCUCAACGAGAGACUCGGUGAAAUCAUAGUACCUGUGAAGAUGCAGGUUACCCGCGACAGGACGGAAAGACCCCGUGGAGCUUUACUGUAGCCUGAUAUUGAAAUUCGGCACAGCUUGUACAGGAUAGGUA